UUUUUUUUGAAGAGAAAAAGUCCAAAAAAAAACGGCUGUUCCUUUGGAGAAAUUCUGAAAUAGCUUAUAAUUCUUGGGGUUUUUUCGAUAAACUACUGAAUAUUUUGCUUGGGGUUUGGUUAUUCUAGUUAUAAUAGUCAGUUGAAGUCGCUGAAAAUUUGAUAGUUUUGCAUUCUGGGCUGAAAAUGAGUUGAAUUCUGGAUAUUUUAAAGCUGGGUUGGGUGUACUAUUUGGAAAACACUUUUAUACUGCUGGGUUGAGUCAAUUUCUACUGCUAUUUCUCCUGCUGAAUCACUGCUCCUGCUGUUUAUUGCUAUUGUUGUUUUCUUCUUGAUCUCCAAUUUGGUUUCUGAUUCUGUUUUUGCUAUAUUCAGGUAUGUACUGACUCCUGAAUAGCAUGUGAAAUGCAAAGAUGAAAGUCAUGUAACCAAGCUUGAAGAGAAUUGAUAAUUGCCACGUUUUCCUUUGUCAAAGGAAUGCUAGAGUUCAUUCUAAUUUCUUCAUAUGUUUCUUCAGUUUAGUUCAUCGUGUAUAAUCAAUCAUCUCAUUAAUGUUGUCCUUCAUUUUAAGGUUUGGAUUCAGGUUUGCUUGAAUGUAGUGAUUCAGGGCUAUUUGGACCUUUCAAUGUGUUAUUGAUUAAGGACUAUGGCUAUCAGCUGAUUAGUUGAAACUGUUUGGCUAUGGAUGAGUCUUUCAUGGCCAUGAUUCAAAUGUGUUAGUUCAGAUUUUUGGGGUCCAACACAAUCGAUUCAUAUUCUGCUUUCCAUUUAGUCUUUAAAACCUGUUUUCUUAUGGUUUGAAGCAUAGCUUAGUAACUUCAGGAGUUUGUUGUUCAAACCUUCCUCUUUGUUCAUGCGAUGUUUUGUUUCAAUAAGGGAUUUCAAAUGGAAGUCGAUUCUGGUUUUGUUUUGAGAAUGUCUCAGCCUAGUAUAGUUCUUCGCAUAUUUCUUUUAACAAGUUGAAACCAUAUGGUUGUUUAAGUGUGCUAGUGUUAAAUCAGAAUUCAGCAUGCGAAUAAAGUCUACUCGGGACUUCAAAUUGUUCUCUUUUGUUGGAAAUACAAAUGGAGGAUUUAAAAGGCUGAAAUAGUAUGUUGUUAGUAGUUGUUUUGUUUAAAUUCUAAAUUUCUCACUACAACAUGGAUUUCCUGCAACGAUUGAUGUGUAAAACACUGACUCGGGCUACAAUUUGGGCCUAGUUGUGCUGCGUUCCCUUUGCUGGGUGCUUCCAGAUCCGGGCUUCAUAUUGGAGCCCAUUUAUGGUCUCUUAAUUAUUGAUAGGAUGGUCAUGGGGGGAACAAUGGGUCCAUAACUUCUUUGGUUUUUUUGUGAGUGCAGAUUAUUCACAUUGGGUCUAAAAUUUUCACAUUAAUGGUUGGAAAUUUCUCAUGUCGUUUAAUUAAUUGGCAAGUCCUUUAAAUUAAUUGAGGUACGCCGUGCCAAAUAAAAUCUCAAAAUGCAUGGCCCUCAUUUAAUUAAUAUUUUAAUCCUUUAGAAAUCGAGGUGUGCCAUUUAGUUGAAUUUUCCAUGGCCCUCGCAAAGUUGAAAGAGCGUAGUUGCUUUAGGCGCGCUAUUUAAAAAUUACUUUCCUAAACUCGGAUGUGAAUUUCAUGUGACCCAAAUCCAAAUCUUAACAACGUUAAAUAAAAUAUGUCUCGGAUUGCGGGUGCAUUUCAUGUGGCUUGGUCCAAAGACGUGCUUUAGAUAACGAUGAAAUUUUCCUUAAAAUAAUUAAAAGCGGUUAGAAAGUUAAAAUAUACCAUAGGCUAAAACAUGUAUUAAAAUCAGAUAAUAGGCCAAUUGUAACAGCUGAGCGACCGUGCUAGAACCACGGAACCCGGAAAUGCCUAACACCUUCUCCCAGGAUAACAGAAUUCCUUAUACGGAUUUCUGUGUUCGCAGACUGUAAUACAGAGUCAAUCCUUUCUCGAUUCGGGAUUUAAAACCAGUGACUUGGGACACCAUAAAUUAUCCCAAGUGGCAACUCUAAAUUUGUAAUAAAAUAAUUCCGUUUCGAUUGUCACUUUAAGUUGGAAAAAAACUCCCUUAUACCAUUCCGGGGGUUUAGGAAAAAAGAGGUGUGACAGUCAUCCACUAAGUGGGCCACCCCCACUAAAAGUUUUCUAUAACUAGUGAGAUGUUUACUCCUUAGUAACAAAAUGAUUACAAAUGAAGAAUUGAAUUGAAUCACUUAUAAAGAGUGGGAUGACCGUGAGAUCAUCAUAGAACACAAUAAUCCCAUACCAAAACAAUGUGAAUUCAUAUGUAUCUCUUAUGUAAAGAGAGUGGGUUCAGGAAGUAAAACAAUUUCAUACCAAAUAGAGAUAACAUUGGUUGUUGAUUCUGUAAGACAUGAAUUGUAAAUUCUAAGAGAAUCGGUCCAGGUAUGUUAAGACUAAGCUCUUCCUUCAUUUUAGCAUGAUGUCAUUACACAAGUUUAAUAACGAAGCAUAAAGAAAAAUUCAUAUCCCGAAAUUUACGUAUAUUUUGCUAGUCUCACAAGUUACAAUAUUCUCUUUAUCGGGACUUCAUAUUCAUUUGAGUAUUUCAUUCGUCCAGUCAAGAAAGUAGAGAGUUUAUAUAUACAGUAUUAAAGUAUUUUCAUUACCAUCGAGCUAUACUCGAUGGGCAGGCCCCUAUUGGGCAACCUAUGAUCAGAUGGUAAGUUAUAUACCGAGCCUACUGUGGUCGAGUGCCUAUGAGCGAGCCCAGUUGGUCGAGAUACGAAGCCUAGUAUGGCUGAGCGCCUAUGCGUGAGCCUACUACGGUAGAGCAGUUAUAUGUAUAUCGAGCCUUAUAGCGCCGGACAUCUAUUUUACUUACUAUAUUGAGAGAGUUGAGUCAGUAUCAACAGGUAAGUAUAUCUUCAGAUUAUCUUUGACUUCCAGCAUACUUGCAGUUAUUAUAUUAUUAGUUCAGUUUCAGCUUUUAGUAUAUUGCCUUACAAACUUAGUAUAUUAUUUCGUACUAACGUCCCUUUUUUGGGGGCACUGCAUUUCAUGCGUGCAGGUCAGACAGACAGACGGGUAGGCCUACUCAAUAAGUGUUUCUCGAGUUCAGCUUGGUUGGUAAGCUCCAUGACUUUCGGAGUUUCCGGGUCUAGAGCCUUAUAUACAUCUUUUAUAUAUAUGUAUAAAUAUUAUGAGUAGGUUGGGGAGCUAUUCCGAUCAUAGUAUAUCCAUCAGUAGAGGCUUGUAGACAUAUCCUGUCAAUUAGUGCAAUAUGUUGGGCUUGCAGGCCUUGUAUGUAUAUUUGGUUGGUUUGUCAGCUGUAAUAGUUAUGAUGGCCUUGUCGGCCCAGUUAUAUAUUGACAUUUAGUCAGUGUCACACCUCCUUUUUGCGCGCCCCGCCCCGAAGGGUUAAAUGCGCAGGUGGGGUUUUUCCAAUUUAAGUGACA
This 3396-nucleotide long non-coding RNA is filed under the name Nicotiana tabacum (common tobacco). Its description in RNAcentral is "long non-coding RNA (NTAB_LNC013506)". Lineage: Eukaryota; Viridiplantae; Streptophyta; Magnoliopsida; Solanales; Solanaceae. The record is from RNAcentral.